RNAcentral lists this long non-coding RNA (469 nucleotides) under Olea europaea subsp. europaea. The record is from RNAcentral. Lineage: Eukaryota; Viridiplantae; Streptophyta; Magnoliopsida; Lamiales; Oleaceae.
GUACCAAAUAGAUCGGAAGACACGAAAGAGAAAACUUCAAAGGAAGUACGAGAUUUCCAUGUCGGUGGCUUGUUUUCGCAAAAUGGUAAAAGGCACAAACUUUUGAAAUAGAAAAAUUAAAGAUGUGGACCAGUUGCAAUCAUAAAAUAUUAAUCAAAAGCAUUAAUAAAGAAGAAGGGGAUAAAAGAUUGGAGGUUCGAGAAUCUUGCAUUAUCACAAAAUGCCCGUUUACUGAAAAUGAUGGCUGGCCGAUCCGACAGGUAAAAAAUUAUCAUGGACUAACCAAAAGCCCCCACGAGUUUAAUCAAAAGCCUUUUAUCAAUGAUCUUCAAAUGCAAAAGAACGUAAAAAUAAAUAAUUAUGAAGAUGUAAAUCGACUGCUGAAAGCCUGAACUGACGAAAGUGAAAGUUCCAACGGCGUUUAUUGCCGUCCAAUAAAUGCAGGUGGAAGAGUUUUGAUAUCUCGAAA